Molecule: non-coding RNA, 174 nt
Filed under: pig gut metagenome
Source: RNAcentral
AUGACGGUCCGCCGGGAACGGCGGUCAAAAGAGAAGCAGGGUGAGAAUCCCUCACAACCACCAUUACCGUAUGGGAUGAAACCGGCGCCGAGGCCAUUGGAACGCACGUUCUGAGAAGGGGGCGCCGGGCGGCCGAGCGCCUGUGUCCCGAAGCCGGGAGAACUGCCGUCACCG